Molecule: ribosomal RNA, 253 nt
Filed under: uncultured bacterium
Lineage: Bacteria
Description: partial 16S ribosomal RNA
Rfam family: Bacterial small subunit ribosomal RNA
Source: RNAcentral
UACAGAGGGGGCAAGCGUUGUUCGGAAUUACUGGGCGUAAAGGGCGCGUAGGCGGCCUGCUAAGUCGAACGUGAAAUCCCCGGGCUCAACCCGGGAACUGCGUCCGAUACUGGCAGGCUUGAAUCCGGGAGAGGGAUGUGGAAUUCCAGGUGUAGCGGUGAAAUGCGUAGAUAUCUGGAGGAAUACCGGUGGCGAAGGCGGCAUCCUGGACCGACAUUGACGCUGAACGGCGAAAGCUAGGGGAGCAAACGGG